RNAcentral lists this ribosomal RNA (253 nucleotides) under uncultured bacterium. Its description in RNAcentral is "partial 16S ribosomal RNA". It matches the Rfam family "Bacterial small subunit ribosomal RNA", at positions 524 to 776 of the family's 1533-position model. The record is from RNAcentral.
UACGUAGGGUGCAAGCGUUAAUCGGAAUUACUGGGCGUAAAGCGUGCGCAGGCGGCUAUGUAAGACAGGUGUGAAAUCCCCGGGCUUAACCUGGGAACUGCAUUUGUGACUGCAUAGCUAGAGUACGGUAGAGGGGGAUGGAAUUCCGCGUGUAGCAGUGAAAUGCGUAGAUAUGCGGAGGAACACCGAUGGCGAAGGCAAUCCCCUGGACCUGUACUGACGCUCAUGCACGAAAGCGUGGGGAGCAAACAGG